UGCGUAGGCGGUGCUCUAAGUCGGAUGUGAAAACUCUGGGCUCAACCCAGAGCCUGCAUCCGAAACUGGAGUGCUAGAGUUCUGGAGGGGGUAGCGGAAUUCCUGGUGUAGCGGUGAAAUGCGUAGAUAUCAGGAGGAACACCGGUGGCGAAGGCGGCUACCUGGACAGAAACUGACGCUGAGGCACGAAAGCUAGGGGAGCAAACA
RNAcentral lists this ribosomal RNA (207 nucleotides) under uncultured bacterium. RNAcentral describes it as "partial 16S ribosomal RNA". It matches the Rfam family "Bacterial small subunit ribosomal RNA", at positions 568 to 774 of the family's 1533-position model. The record is from RNAcentral.